RNAcentral lists this ribosomal RNA (773 nucleotides) under Klebsiella pneumoniae. RNAcentral describes it as "bacterial SSU rRNA". It matches the Rfam family "Bacterial small subunit ribosomal RNA", at positions 738 to 1506 of the family's 1533-position model. The record is from RNAcentral. Lineage: Bacteria; Pseudomonadati; Pseudomonadota; Gammaproteobacteria; Enterobacterales; Enterobacteriaceae.
CCAUUAACCAAGGUGGCGAAAGCGUGGGGAGCAAACAGGAUUCAUUUAUACCCUGGUAGUCCACGCCGUAAACGAUGUCGAUUUGGAGGUUGUGCCCUUGAGGCGUGGCUUCCGGAGCUAACGCGUUAAAUCGACCGCCUGGGGAGUACGGCCGCAAGGUUAAAACUCAAAUGAAUUGACGGGGGCCCGCACAAGCGGUGGAGCAUGUGGUUUAAUUCGAUGCAACGCGAAGAACCUUACCUGGUCUUGACAUCCACAGAACUUUCCAGAGAUGGAUUGGUGCCUUCGGGAACUGUGAGACAGGUGCUGCAUGGCUGUCGUCAGCUCGUGUUGUGAAAUGUUGGGUUAAGUCCCGCAACGAGCGCAACCCUUAUCCUUUGUUGCCAGCGGUUCGGCCGGGAACUCAAAGGAGACUGCCAGUGAUAAACUGGAGGAAGGUGGGGAUGACGUCAAGUCAUCAUGGCCCUUACGACCAGGGCUACACACGUGCUACAAUGGCAUAUACAAAGAGAAGCGACCUCGCGAGAGCAAGCGGACCUCAUAAAAGUAUGUCGUAGUCCGGAUUGGAGUCUGCAACUCGACUCCAUGAAGUCGGAAUCGCUAGUAAUCGUAGAUCAGAAUGCUACGGUGAAUACGUUCCCGGGGCCUUGUACACACCGCCCGUCACACCAUGGGAGUGGGUUGCAAAAGAAGUAGGUAGCUUAACCUUCGGGAGGGCGCUUACCACUUUGUGAUUCAUGACUGGGGUGAAGUCGUAACAAGGUAACCGUAAA